This 467-nucleotide ribosomal RNA is filed under the name uncultured bacterium. Its description in RNAcentral is "partial 16S ribosomal RNA". It matches the Rfam family "Bacterial small subunit ribosomal RNA", at positions 28 to 506 of the family's 1533-position model. The record is from RNAcentral.
GACGAACGCUGGCGGCGUGCUUAACACAUGCAAGUCGAACGGAAAGGCCCUGCUUUUGUGGGGUGCUCGAGUGGCGAACGGGUGAGUAACACGUGAGUAACCUGCCCUUGACUUUGGGAUAACUUCAGGAAACUGGGGCUAAUACCGGAUAGGAGCUCCUGCUGCAUGGUGGGGGUUGGAAAGUUUCGGCGGUUGGGGAUGGGCUCGCGGCUUAUCAGCUUGUUGGUGGGGUAGUGGCUUACCAAGGCUUUGACGGGUAGCCGGCCUGAGAGGGUGACCGGCCACAUUGGGACUGAGAUACGGCCCAGACUCCUACGGGAGGCAGCAGUGGGGAAUAUUGCACAAUGGGCGGAAGCCUGAUGCAGCAACGCCGCGUGCGGGAGGACGGCCUUCGGGUUGUAAACCGCUUUCGCCUGUGACGAAGCGUGAGUGACGGUAAUGGGUAAAGAAGCACCGGCUAACUACGU